GACGAACGCUGGCGGCGUGCCUAAUACAUGCAAGUUGAGCGCUGAAGGUUGGUACUUGUACCUACUGGAUGAGCAGCGAACGGGUGAGUAACGCGUGGGGAAUCUGCCUUUGAGCGGGGGACAACAUUUGGAAACGAAUGCUAAUACCGCAUAAAAACUUUAAACACAAGUUUUAAGUUUGAAAGAUGCAAUUGCAUCACUCAAAGAUGAUCCCGCGUUGUAUUAGCUAGUUGGGGAGGUAAAGGCUCACCAAGGCGAUGAUACAUAGCCGACCUGAGAGGGGGAUCGGCCACAUUGGGAAUGAGACACGGCCCAAACUCCUACGGGAGGCAGCAGUAGGGAAUCUUAGGGAAUGGACGAAAGGCUGAACGGGCAACGCCGCGGGAGGGAAGAAGGUUUUCGGAUCGGAAAACUCUGUUGGUAGAGAAGAACGUUGGUGAGAGUGGAAAGCUCAUCAAGUGACGGUAACUACCCAGAAAGGGACGGCUAACUACGUG
Molecule: ribosomal RNA, 497 nt
Filed under: uncultured bacterium
Lineage: Bacteria
Description: partial 16S ribosomal RNA
Rfam family: Bacterial small subunit ribosomal RNA
Source: RNAcentral